CCUUAACUCAUCCAAAGACUACUCCACUUCUAUCUGAACUCUUCUUAGCCAUUGUCCCAACCUUAUAUCAGCUUCUCAUCACUUCUGAAGCUUCAUAGAACUCUUCUUAAGAUCUUCAAGAGCUUGUCCUAUUUAUGCACAAGCUCCAUUCUUCUCUUCAGUUCAACACUCCCCCUCAAGCUUGACUUUAGUUGAUCCUAAGUCAAGCUUGGAACCCUGAAGAACUUCCUCAUUAAAAACCUCACCAAGGAAAACCCUUUGGGACAAAACCUUGAUGAGGGAAAAAGAGUAAAGUCUCCAAGGCCUAGGGAUUGGCCAGUGAGUCUUUGUGCCUUACCAACAAUGUAAGGGACACAAAGACUCUGGAUCAUGGCCUCUACAAUCACCCCACGCCUUGUACUCUCCUUACUGCCUAAUCUUGG
RNAcentral lists this long non-coding RNA (422 nucleotides) under Brassica rapa (field mustard). Its description in RNAcentral is "long non-coding RNA (BRAP_LNC008941)". Lineage: Eukaryota; Viridiplantae; Streptophyta; Magnoliopsida; Brassicales; Brassicaceae. The record is from RNAcentral.